CAUUUUCAAACGCUGCGCAGAUACAUUGAAGUCCUUUCUGUCAGGGGUUGCUUUAGGCUCGUACUUCUGACGCUAUACUUGGGGCUUCGUGAGAGAACCGAAAAAGGCAAGCAUGACCGUUGUCAAAGCUUUGGCAGCCGUCGUUUUGAUGGCGCUAUAUGCUGGAAGCACUGCAUACGAUACAGCCGGCUGCGACUUUAGUGGAAUCGACCUGGAUGGAGCCCUGGACAAAAUUCUAGGCAAAUUGCCCCGGUACCACGCGCCAGAUGAUCGUGGAUUUCGGAGGGCUUUUGCUGGUCUGGAAACUGGCACACUGAACGUAACUGGCCUGGACAAGAUCCGGAGAUACGGACCGCUCCACUCAUACUGUGUCAACGGAACCCGGCUCAUGAGUGUGGAUGUCAUCAACGAUGGUGACGCAACCCUGUCGCUGCCGUGGAGGGCCUGCUUUGGACGAGAAGGCACGCUAAACUUGCGGACCGCAUUGUCGCGGUUUACGCUCGUAUUCCGUGUCACAACUGGAGGAUCGGAAAACAACGAAGUUCUCGUUUACGAAGGGCCAACUAUCCCCGUGAUUACCGUAGACGCACACAUAUAUAUCAAUGGCGCCGGUCCAGAAGUAAGGAUGGCUAGCAUGAUCCUGAGCAAGCUGUUGCCGGCUAUCACUGAAAAAAUGUGGAAUGACUACUUCUUCAUAUAUUUCCGUGGGGCCCUCCGGCAAGCAAUUCGCGAUGUCUCGUCUGGUUGACAUGUUGUUUAUCAUAAGUGCAUUCUCUGUCCUCGAUAAUCUUCUCUACCUUCAGUUCAUAAGAAAUAAACUUUCUGCACUACA
Molecule: long non-coding RNA, 832 nt
Organism: Dermacentor albipictus
Lineage: Eukaryota; Metazoa; Arthropoda; Arachnida; Ixodida; Ixodidae
Source: RefSeq, a predicted model, not a curated record